RNAcentral lists this ribosomal RNA (497 nucleotides) under uncultured bacterium. RNAcentral's name for it is "partial 16S ribosomal RNA". It matches the Rfam family "Bacterial small subunit ribosomal RNA", at positions 28 to 507 of the family's 1533-position model. The record is from RNAcentral.
GAUGAACGCUGGCGGCGUGCCUAAUACAUGCAAGUCGAGCGAACGGACGAGAAGCUUGCUUUUCUGAUGUUAGCGGCGGACGGGUGAGUAACACGUGGAUAACCUGCCUAUAAGACUGGGAUAACUUCGGGAAACCGGAGCUAAUACCGGAUAAUAUUUUGAACCGCAUGGUUCAAAAGUGAAAGACGGUCUUGCUGUCACUUAUAGAUGGAUCCGCGCUGCAUUAGCUAGUUGGUAAGGUAACGGCUUACCAAGGCAACGAUGCAUAGCCGACCUGAGAGGGUGAUCGGCCACACUGGAACUGAGACACGGUCCAGACUCCUACGGGAGGCAGCAGUAGGGAAUCUUCCGCAAUGGGCGAAAGCCUGACGGAGCAACGCCGCGUGAGUGAUGAAGGUCUUCGGAUCGUAAAACUCUGUCAUUAGGGAAGAACAUAUGUGUAAGUAACUGUGCACAUCUUGACGGUACCUAAUCAGAAAGCCACGGCUAACUACGUG